CAGCCGCAAGGCGAAGCUCAGAAUUUAAGCCCCAGUAAACGGCGGUGGUAACUAUAACCAUCCUAAGGUAGCGAAAUUCCUUGUCGGGUAAGUUCCGACCUGCACGAAUGGCGUAACGACUUCCCAACUGUCUCAACCGCGAACUCGGCGAAAUUGCAAUACGAGUAAAGAUGCUCGUUACGCGCAGCAGGACGGAAAGACCCCGUGACCUUUACUACAGCUUGGUAUUGGUGUUCGGUGUGGCUUGUGUAGGAUAGGUGGGAGACUGUGAAGCGGAUACGCCAGUAUUCGUGGAGUCGUUGUUGAAAUACCACUCUGGUCACUCUGGAUGUCUAACUUCGAACCGUGAUCCGGUUCAGGGACAGUGCCUGGUGGGUAGUUUAACUGGGGCGGUUGCCUCCCAAAAAGUAACGGAGGCGCCCAAAGGUUCCCUCAACCUGGUUGGCAAUCAGGUGGCGAGUGUAAGUGCACAAGGGAGCUUGACUGUGAGACUGACAGGUCGAGCAGGGACGAAAGUCGGGACUAGUGAUCCGGCAGUGGCUUGUGGAAGCGCUGUCGCUCAACGGAUAAAAGGUACCUCGGGGAUAACAGGCUGAUCUUGCCCAAGAGUCCAUAUCGACGGCAUGGUUUGGCACCUCGAUGUCGGCUCGUCGCAUCCUGGGGCUGGAGUAGGUCCCAAGGGUUGGGCUGUUCGCCCAUUAAAGCGGUACGCGAGCUGGGUUUAGAACGUCGUGAGACAGUUCGGUCCCUAUCCGCUGCGCGCGUAGGAAGUUUGAGAGGAUCUGACCCUAGUACGAGAGGACCGGGUUGGACGAACCUCUGGUGUGCCAGUUGUACUGCCAAGUGCACCGCUGGUUAGCUACGUUCGGGAUGGAUAACCGCUGAAAGCAUCUAAGCGGGAAGCCGGCCUCAAGAUGAGACUUCCAUACCUUCGGGUGAGAGGCUCCCAGCCAGACUACUGGGUUGAUAGGCCAGAUGUGGAAGCGCAGCAAUGCGUGCAGCUGACUGGUACUAAUAAGCCGAUGACUUGAUAAC
Molecule: ribosomal RNA, 1035 nt
Filed under: Microbacterium sp. KCTC 39802
Lineage: Bacteria; Bacillati; Actinomycetota; Actinomycetes; Micrococcales; Microbacteriaceae
Description: bacterial LSU rRNA
Rfam family: Bacterial large subunit ribosomal RNA
Source: RNAcentral